RNAcentral lists this ribosomal RNA (808 nucleotides) under uncultured Actinomycetes bacterium. RNAcentral describes it as "bacterial SSU rRNA". It matches the Rfam family "Bacterial small subunit ribosomal RNA", at positions 547 to 1356 of the family's 1533-position model. Lineage: Bacteria; Bacillati; Actinomycetota; Actinomycetes. The record is from RNAcentral.
GGAUUAUUGGGCGUAAAGAGCUCGUAGGCGGUUUGUCGCGUCUGCUGUGAAAUUUCGGGGCUCAACCCCGAACUUGCAGUGGGUACGGGCAGACUAGAGUGUGGUAGGGGAGACUGGAAUUCCUGGUGUAGCGGUGAAAUGCGCAGAUAUCAGGAGGAACACCGAUGGCGAAGGCAGGUCUCUGGGCCACUACUGACGCUGAGAAGCGAAAGCAUGGGGAGCGAACAGGAUUAGGUACCCUGGUAGUCCAUGCCGUAAACGUUGGGAACUAGGUGUGGGCCUCAUUCCACGAGGUCCGUGCCGCAGCUAACGCAUUAAGUUCCCCGCCUGGGGAGUACGGCCGCAAGGCUAAAACUCAAAGGAAUUGACGGGGGCCCGCACAAGCGGCGGAGCAUGCGGAUUAAUUCGAUGCAACGCGAAGAACCUUACCAAGGCUUGACAUGUGCCGGAAAAGUGCAGAGAUGUGCUCCCCGCAAGGUCGGUACACAGGUGGUGCAUGGUUGUCGUCAGCUCGUGUCGUGAGAUGUUGGGUUAAGUCCCGCAACGAGCGCAACCCUCGUUCUAUGUUGCCAGCACGUCAUGGUGGGGACUCAUAGGAGACUGCCGGGGUCAACUCGGAGGAAGGUGGGGAUGACGUCAAAUCAUCAUGCCCCUUAUGUCUUGGGCUUCACGCAUGCUACAAUGGCCAGUACAAAGGGCUGCGAUACCGCAAGGUGGAGCGAAUCCCAAAAAACUGGUCUCAGUUCGGAUUGGGGUCUGCAACUCGACCCCAUGAAGUCGGAGUCGCUAGUAAUCGCAGAUCAGCAAC